This 943-nucleotide long non-coding RNA is filed under the name Panax ginseng (ginseng). Its description in RNAcentral is "long non-coding RNA (PGIN_LNC011661)". The record is from RNAcentral. Lineage: Eukaryota; Viridiplantae; Streptophyta; Magnoliopsida; Apiales; Araliaceae.
AAAAGCCUCAGUUAGUGGGAAUCCAAAUCAAACAUGCCGUGAGUUCCAUAGUCUCUGUUGAAAAAAGUAGCCGAUUUAGAGCUCUAAAUAGUAUGAAUCUGCCGCCAUGAAAAUCGAUAAUGUGGAUUUUUGUGGUCGGAGGAGAGAGAAAAGGGGGCGGAAGAGGCGAAAAUCGAUGAUGGGGAUUUAGUUUCUUCUUUACUUUAUGAUCGCCAUACAAAAAAUUUGUCAUUUCGCCUCUCUCAAAGCUUUCCAUUUCUUCUCCGACCACAAAGAGAGAUCCAUAUGCAGAGCGCAGCCACACCCCAUUCCCCAUAUCAUCAUUCGCCUUCAAGAGACCCUCUGGAGCCCUAACUUCAGAAGGUCAGUUAGCUUCUUCUCUCUCCGAUUUUCUACAUUUUACAUUCGAAACUUAAUCAGAAAUGUAAUGGUUGGAAAGUGAAAUUCUCAUUUCUGGAUUGCCAAAUUCCCCCAUUUCUUGUUUAAAAUCAAGUAUGGUUGCUGGGGAAUCGUAUAAACUAGUAGGGGACUUAUCAUUUUGCUUGUCGAGAAUUGAAUCUAGGUGGUUUUCAGUGAAACCCCAUUUUUAGAUCUAUGUAUUUAUUGUUUAUUUUUCUUUCUGAUCUAUUUUUCUGUUCAGUUGAAACAGCUCAUUACGAUGCCAGAAGCAAGAGAUAGACUAUCGAGGCCAGGCACUGUUACAACAGUGUUCAGUCGUCGCCAGAGGUCGAUCGGUAGGAGUUUUUGGCUGCAGAUCUUGAUCUUCAAUGUUCGGCUGAGAGGAGUUUUUGAUCGAUUUUUAAUGGUUUUAGAUUCUGUUGUUUUGAUUGAAUUGAUCAAUUUCUGAUUGUUUGGAAGUUUUAAUUAGUUUUGAUGUAUUAAGUGAAUAGGGUAUGACCAUUUUACCCUUCAAUAUAACAAAUAUAUUUUAUCACAAUUUAAG